UGCUGAGCCACCUUUGCAGAUCUAUUGAGGGUUCGCCUACUAAGUGAUUUUUCUCUGAACCUGAGCAUCUAAUUUUCCAUGUGCAAAUUGUCUCACUAUAAGAUCCACCCCUGAUGAAGUCUUGGAGAAAAGACGAAACGCGUCGGGUUGUCUUCUUAUGAAGCUCAUAUUAAAGAAAAAGUGGAUAUUACAGAAUAUCACCUGUAAAUUGCUACUGUGGUCAUUGAUCUGUAAAAAGGGUGAAGCGAGUUACCACUUUUUCUAUGUACAAAUAUUGAUUGUAUGUUUUUACAAUAAUAAAAGUUUUUAGAUGGAACAUGUCA
Molecule: long non-coding RNA, 323 nt
Organism: Pseudophryne corroboree (corroboree frog)
Lineage: Eukaryota; Metazoa; Chordata; Amphibia; Anura; Myobatrachidae
Exons: 3
Source: RefSeq, a predicted model, not a curated record